Molecule: ribosomal RNA, 305 nt
Filed under: uncultured bacterium
Lineage: Bacteria
Description: bacterial SSU rRNA
Rfam family: Bacterial small subunit ribosomal RNA
Source: RNAcentral
CCUACGGGGGGCAGCAGUGGGGAAUAUUGCACAAUGGGGGAAACCCUGAUGCAGCGACGCCGCGUGAGUGAAGAAGUAUUUCGGUAUGUAAAGCUCUAUCAGCAGGGAAGAAAGGUGCCCCUUGGGCGCCUGGACGGUACCUGACUAAGAAGCCCCGGCUAACUACGUGCCAGCAGCCGCGGUAAUACGUAGGGGGCAAGCGUUAUCCGGAUUUACUGGGUGUAAAGGGAGCGUAGACGGCAGAGCAAGUCCGGAGUGAAAGCCCGGGGCCCAACCCCGGGACUGCUCUGGAAACUGUUAAGCUG